Molecule: long non-coding RNA, 1007 nt
Filed under: Anser brachyrhynchus (Pink-footed goose)
Lineage: Eukaryota; Metazoa; Chordata; Aves; Anseriformes; Anatidae
Description: lncRNA (ENSABRG00000000139.1)
Source: RNAcentral
UUUGUGACUCCUGGAAUAGAAUUGUAUUAUUGAAAGUGAUAGCAGAGAGAACAGUCUAUAGGAGUCCGUUAAAGCUUCAUAAUGCUGUGAGUUCAAUUGAAGACUUUGGUUCAUAGAGUUGUGUUGAACAGACUCACCUUGCUUCCCAUGAGUCAUUCUUCUUGAUAGAUUCUGAUAACAAAAUUAUGUAUUAGAAACCUUAUACAAGGAGAAACAAUCACUGAGGCACUGUGGGAAUGAGAGGGGAAAUUCAACUGCCUCUAAGGUGUACAACUAAAAACUACCAAAGGCCUCUUUUAUGAUCAUUACACAGGUAUUAGUAGCCAGCAAGCAGCAUUUGAGAAGUGUGAAUAGCAAAGCUGGCACGACAAGUUAGAGGAGAAAGCCACUCUUCUGUGCUUCCUGUUGAAAUGUUGUACUGAAUGGGUGUUAUGUCAAAGGAAUGACUACAACCAGAAAAAAGAGGGAUUUUGAGGAGGGGGGAGCAGGAGCGACGUCCUAUUCUGUCUCAGAUUGUGAAGGAAAUCUGACUCAGCAGCACAAUGGAAAUUACAAAUUUAUCCAACAUUCCUGGCUACUAAGAUGUAAUUGUGCAUCUAAAGCUAACGGGAUCUCCUUAAGGCACCAAAUGACCAAUACUGUCUUCAAGACAUUUUUAUUUCCAAGACAAAAUAUUGAUAUUCUGUAAUAAUGUAAGUACAAAAAUAUUGCUUAAUAUACCCUAGUAGAACUUGUUUGUGUUAUGGUAGUCAUCUAGUAUGCUAUUUGUUGUGAUUACUAACCCUUAACAAGAACAGUGUGUGCUGUUACCUAUUUUGUUAGUUAUUUUUCCAGCUGCUGCUUUUCAUUUAAAAUCUCUCUUCAAUCAUCUGCAACAUCGCUGCUUUUUAUAAAGUAACAAAACACUAUGCACUAUUUUUUUGAUUAAAUUUAGUUGUGUUACAUGUAUAGCUGACAGGCUAAUAUCUCAUCCUAUGAUAUUAAAUAAACAUCUUUUCCUCCCAUCA